AUACCUUUCUCGGCCUUUUGGCUAAGAUCAAGUGUAGUAUCUGUUCUUAUCAGUUUAAUAUCUGAUACGUGGACCAUUGGUUCACAUGAUAUUAAAUUAGUUUUUAUAAUGGGGAGGAUCUGUCACAGUAGCUUGCUAUUGGGAUUCUCAAGUGUCGCCCCUGUACUGCACUACUGCAAGGGCAUGGCGCACCCUAC
Small nuclear RNA from Abrus precatorius (Indian licorice), 197 nucleotides. RefSeq annotates it as U2 spliceosomal RNA. The record is from RefSeq and is a predicted model, not a curated record. The transcript has a single exon. Lineage: Eukaryota; Viridiplantae; Streptophyta; Magnoliopsida; Fabales; Fabaceae.